Molecule: unclassified non-coding RNA, 322 nt
Filed under: Hevea brasiliensis (rubber tree)
Lineage: Eukaryota; Viridiplantae; Streptophyta; Magnoliopsida; Malpighiales; Euphorbiaceae
Source: RNAcentral
GUUUGAUGAUGAUGAGGAAGAUGGGUCUCUACCUCAACGCAUGGUGCCCUGUAACCAGGUUGUUGCUCUUCCAGAUGGACAUCGCCAGUGAAAUAUAGUUACUCUUUACACGUCCAGAGUCACUAAAUUUGGACAAUCUACUGUAUGUAUCUAUUAGUCUUCUAAGGGUGAGCUGUGAACCUAUUCACAUUUAGUUCGUAGCAUUGUUACUUAUCCAGAAAAAGAAAAUAUUAUCUAUGUCGUGCAAUGUAUUUAUCAAAGAAAAUCUUUGCUGUACGAUUUUCUAGUGUUCUUGGUGUACAGUAAUUGGACAUGAAAAAAU